Molecule: ribosomal RNA, 369 nt
Filed under: uncultured archaeon
Lineage: Archaea
Description: bacterial SSU rRNA
Rfam family: Archaeal small subunit ribosomal RNA
Source: RNAcentral
CCGAGUGCCAGCAUCAUAUGUUGGCUGUCCAGAUGUGUAAAAUACAUCUGUUAGCAAGGGCCGGGCAAGACCGGUGCCAGCCGCCGCGGUAACACCGGCGGCCCGAGUGGUGAUCGUGAUUAUUGGGUCUAAAGGGUCCGUAGCCGGUUUGGUCAGUCCUCCGGGAAAUCUGACGGCUCAACCGUUAGGCUUUCGGUGGAUACUGCCAGACUUGGAACCGGGAGAGGUAAGAGGUACUACAGGGGUAGGAGUGAAAUCUUGUAAUCCCUGUGAGACCACCUGUGGCGAAGGCGUCUUACCAGAACGGGUUCGACGGUGAGGGACGAAAGCUGGGGGCACGAACCGGAUUAGAUACCCCGGGUAGUCCAA